GUAGGUGGCAAGCGUUGUCCGGAAUUAUUGGGCGUAAAGCGCGCGCAGGCGGUUCUUUAAGUCUGAUGUGAAAGCCCACGGCUCAACCGUGGAGGGUCAUUGGAAACUGGAGAACUUGAGUACAGAAGAGGAAAGCGGAACUCCACGUGUAGCGGUGAAAUGCGUAGAGAUGUGGAGGAACACCAGUGGCGAAGGCGGCUUUCUGGUCUGUAACUGACGCUGAGGCGCGAAAGCGUGGGGAGCAAACAGGGAUUAGAUACCCUGGUAGUCCACGCCGUAAACGAUGAGUGCUAAGUGUUAGGGGGUUUCCGCCCCCUUAGUGCUGCAGCUAACGCAUUAAGCACUCCGCCUGGGGAGUACGGCCGCAAGGCUG
RNAcentral lists this ribosomal RNA (373 nucleotides) under uncultured organism. RNAcentral describes it as "partial 16S ribosomal RNA". It matches the Rfam family "Bacterial small subunit ribosomal RNA", at positions 527 to 896 of the family's 1533-position model. The record is from RNAcentral.